AGAGUUUGAUCAUGGCUCAGGAUGAACGCUGGCGGCGUGCCUAACACAUGCAAGUCGAGCGAUUCUCUUCGGAGAAGAGCGGCGGACGGGUGAGUAACGCGUGGGUAACCUGCCUCAUACACAUGGAUAACAUACCGAAAGGUAUGCUAAUACAAGAUGAUAUAAGAGAUUCGCAUGGAUUUUUUAUCAAAGCUCCGGCGGUAUGAGAUGGACCCGCGUCUGAUUAGCUAGUUGGUAAGGUAACGGCUUACCAAGGCGACGAUCAGUAGCCGACCUGAGAGGGUGAUCGGCCACAUUGGAACUGAGACACGGUCCAAACUCCUACGGGAGGCAGCAGUGGGGAAUAUUGCACAAUGGGCGAAAGCCUGAUGCAGCAACGCCGCGUGAGCGAUGAAGGCCUUCGGGUCGUAAAGCUCUGUCCUCAAGGAAGAUAAUGACGGUACUUGAGGAGGGAGCCCCGGCUAACUACGUGCCAGCAGCCGCGGUAAUACGUAGGGGGCUAGCGUUAUCCGGAUUUACUGGGCGUAAAGGGUGCGUAGGUGGUUUCUUAAGUCGGGAGUGAAAGGCUACGGCUCAACCGUAGUAAGCUCUUGAAACUGGGAAACUUGAGUGCAGGAGAGGAAAGUGGAAUUCCUAGUGUAGCGGUGAAAUGCGUAGAUAUUAGGAGGAACACCAGUAGCGAAGGCGGCUUUCUGGACUGUAACUGACACUGAGGCACGAAAGCGUGGGGAGCAAACAGGAUUAGAUACCCUGGGUAGUCCACGCCGUAAACGAUGAGUACUAGGUGUCGGGGGUUACCCCCUCGGUGCCGCAGCUAACGCAUUAAGUACUCCGCCUGGGGAGUACGCUCGCAAGAGUGAAACUCAAAGGAAUUGACGG
Molecule: ribosomal RNA, 879 nt
Filed under: uncultured bacterium
Lineage: Bacteria
Description: bacterial SSU rRNA
Rfam family: Bacterial small subunit ribosomal RNA
Source: RNAcentral